AUAAUAACAUGGUAGAGGGAACAUUGUGAUCGGGAAAGUGCUUUCUACAACAUGAGGUUUUAAUAAUGUACUUCUAUUUGGUUGAUUGUUGUGAUUUCUUCAAAUGAGGGAAACUUAGUUGUGUUAUUAUGCUAGCAUGACAGAUUCCUAACACAGUGAAUCCUCUAU
Molecule: small nuclear RNA, 168 nt
Organism: Protopterus annectens (West African lungfish)
Lineage: Eukaryota; Metazoa; Chordata; Ceratodontiformes; Protopteridae
Product: U1 spliceosomal RNA
Exons: 1
Source: RefSeq, a predicted model, not a curated record